Molecule: ribosomal RNA, 253 nt
Filed under: uncultured bacterium
Lineage: Bacteria
Description: partial 16S ribosomal RNA
Rfam family: Bacterial small subunit ribosomal RNA
Source: RNAcentral
UACGUAGGGGGCAAGCGUUGUCCGGAUUUAUUGGGCGUAAAGAGCGUGUAGGCGGCUAGACAGGUCCGUUGUGAAAACUAGAGGCUUAACCUCUAGACGUCGAUGGAAACCGUCUGGCUAGAGUCCGGAAGAGGAGAGUGGAAUUCCUGGUGUAGCGGUGAAAUGCGCAGAUAUCAGGAAGAACACCCGUGGCGAAAGCGGCUCUCUGGAACGGUACUGACGCUGAGACGCGAAAGCGUGGGGAGCGAACAGG